GGGGAUAUAGCUCAGCGGCAUAAGCACCUGCCUUGCAAGCAGGCAGUUGUGAGUUCAAUCCCCGGUACCCAUA
This 73-nucleotide transfer RNA is filed under the name Cavia porcellus (domestic guinea pig). It matches the Rfam family "tRNA". From Rfam's summary of the family: Transfer RNA (tRNA) molecules are approximately 80 nucleotides in length. Lineage: Eukaryota; Metazoa; Chordata; Mammalia; Rodentia; Caviidae. The record is from Rfam by way of RNAcentral.